UGGGGGGGGUGGGUGUUACUGCUAUCUACAGGUGGGUGGGGUGGUGGGGGGGGUGUUACUGCUAUCUACAGGUGGGGGGGGUGAGACUCCCCUCCCAUUAUAAUACACAGCCUUCAGAGCACAGGAACAACACUGCAUUAUAAACCCAGUCUAAUCCCUUAUGAGCCGUUAUAGCGUAGAGGUUAGCAGUAAAGUCACCAGGUACUUCAGCCGUCCAGCCCAAUGCACGCUGGGAGAUGUUAUUCAGGGGGGGAGGAGCCUAGCAGGGAAGCAGCCGGGGGAGGAGCCUAGCAGUGAAGCAGCCUGGUGACUGCCAGCAGCUGGUCUGUGGUGGGUUAUUGAUCAGGACCAAGCUGAUACAGUAUUAUUGAUUAUUGAUUGGCAGACACCAGAGACAACAUGAACAUAGACCUCUCGCCUUUGAGAGAGUCAGAGCAGAGCAAGGUGAAGCUGCCUCUAGAGUCUACAGGCACCGAUCUAAUGGUCACUUCCUGGUCUCCCCCAACAGCCAAGGUUAGGCUUGGUGGAUGGCAUGCUGAUCCUAGAUCGGUACUAAACAAGAGUCACCUGUGUUUGUUCACACCCGUCACAGUGGCCAAGAUGAACGACGAGAGACAAGACAGGUAGGAGGAAGGAGGAGGACCGGACCACAAUCUGUCAAAUGUCUUUCAAACCACACAUCUCUUAACACAACACUUCUCCAGUCCACACCUCCUGAGGGUUACAAUAAAAAAGCAGGAUCAAUGAGCUAAGCCAGAUAACUCUGAUAAACAACCAGAAAUAACUGCUGGUUUCCUGGUUGUUUAAAACAGUCUUUAAAAAAAAAAAAGAUAACAUUCUCAGUUCUCUAGGGUCAGAGAUAGUAAGCACUACAGUCCUGUCAGGUUGACUGAUCCUAGGUCAGUUCUCUAGGGUCAGAGAUAGUAAGCACUACAGUCCUGUCAGGUUGACUGAUCCUAGGUCAGUUCUCUAGGGUCAGAGAUAGUAAACACUACAGUCCUGUCAGGUUGACUGAUCCUAGGUCAGUUCUCUAGGGUCAGAGUUAGUAAGCACUACAGUCCUGUCAGGUUGACUGAUCCUAGGUCAGUUCUCUAGGGUCAGAGUUAGUAAGCACUACAGUGCUGUCCUGUCAGGUUGACUGAUCCUAGGUCAGUUCUCUAGGGUCAGAGUUAGUAAACACUACAGUGCUGUCCUGUCAGGUUGACUGAUCCUAGGUCAGUUCUCUAGGGUCCCCUGAUCGCGCAAUGUUCUGCUUGUUGAUUGGCCAGUUGGCCAGUUCUGCUUGUUGAUUGGCCAGUUAGACAGUUCUGCUUGUUGAUUGGCCAGUUAGACAGUUCUGCUUGUUAAUUGGCCAGUCACAGUUCUGCUUGUUGAUUAGCCAGUUAGACAGUUCUGCUUGUUGAUUGGCCAGUCACAGUUCUGCUUGUUGAUUGGCCAGUUAGACAGUUCUGCUUGUUGAUUGGCCAGUUAGACAGUCCUGCUUGUUGAUUGGCCAGUUAGACAGUCCUGCUUGUUGAUUGGCCACAGUUAGACAGGUCUGCUUGUUGAUUGGCCAGUUAGACAGUUCUGCUUGUUGAUUGGCCAGUUAGACAGUUCUGCUUGUUAAUUGGCCAGUUAGACAGUCCUGCUUGUUGAUUGGCCAGUUAGACAGUCCUGCUUGUUGAUUGGCCACAGUUAGACAGGUCUGCUUGUUGAUUGGCCACAGUUAGACAGUCCGGCUUGUUGAUUGGCCACAGUUAGACAGUUCUGCUUGUUGAUUGGUUAAUUGGCCAGUUAGACAGUUCUGCUUGUUGAUUGGCCAGUUAGACAGUCCUGCUUGUUGAUUGGCCAGUUAGACAGGUCUGCUUGUUGAUUGGCCACAGUUAGACAGGUCUGCUUGUUGAUUGGCCACAGUUAGACAGUCCGGCUUGUUGAUUGGCCACAGUUAGACAGUCUGGCUUGUUGAUUGGCCACAGUUAGACAGUCCGGCUUGUUGAUUGGACAGUUAGACAGGUCUGCUUGUUGAUUGGCCACAGUUAGACAGGUCUGCUUGUUGAUUGGCCACAGUUAGACAGGUCUGCUUGUUGAUUGGCCACAGUUAAGACAGGUCUGCUUGUUGAUUGGCCACAGUUCGACAGUUCUGGUAGUUGAUUGGCCAGUUAGACAGUUCUGCUUGUUGAUUGGCCAGUUAAGACAGUUCUGCUUGUUGAUUGGCCAGUUAAGACAGUUUUGACAGGUAACUCUGCUGUGAAUUGUCCUGUCUGUCUGUUGGUUCUGAAUCUCUCCAGAUAUUUGGUCUUGAGCCUUGACAAC
This is a long non-coding RNA of Oncorhynchus tshawytscha (Chinook salmon), 2292 nucleotides long. NCBI's taxonomy places the organism in Eukaryota, Metazoa, Chordata, Actinopteri, Salmoniformes, Salmonidae. The record is from Ensembl.